Molecule: ribosomal RNA, 252 nt
Filed under: uncultured bacterium
Lineage: Bacteria
Description: partial 16S ribosomal RNA
Rfam family: Bacterial small subunit ribosomal RNA
Source: RNAcentral
UACGAAGGGGCUAGCGUUGUUCGGAAUCACUGGGCGUAAAGCGCACGUAGGCGGAUCUUUAAGUCAGGGGUGAAAUCCCGAGGCUCAACCUCGGAACUGCCUUUGAUACUGAAGAUCUUGAGUUCGGGAGAGGUGAGUGGAACUGCGAGUGUAGAGGUGAAAUUCGUAGAUAUUCGCAAGAACACCAGUGGCGAAGGCGGCUCACUGGCCCGAUACUGACGCUGAGGCACGAAAGCGUGGGGAGCAAACAGG